Molecule: long non-coding RNA, 494 nt
Filed under: Olea europaea subsp. europaea
Lineage: Eukaryota; Viridiplantae; Streptophyta; Magnoliopsida; Lamiales; Oleaceae
Source: RNAcentral
GUUAGACUUGCUGCUCGAGGUUUCCGCAAAUGGAAAAUGAUGCGUUAUGUGAAAUUCGCAUUGGCUGCAGGUACUUGCAAUCUCUUCAUUUGGUUUACUGCUCAGGUAUUAUGGACAAAAUGUUAUGCGAUAUAGCAAGAGGGUGCAGGAACUUGAAGAAGCUCCAUAUUCGCAAUUGCGAACAGGUACUCCACGCAUUAUGGGAAGUCUGAGCAUCACAGAGCGCACUGGUUUAACACAUCCUCUAGCUCUUUUUUUUUUUUUUUUGAUAGGUAACAUAUCCUCUAGCUCUAUUGUUUGUAAUUAAUUGGGAUAUAUUUCUGAUUAAUUUGUCUAUGUUUUGCCUCUUUAAUUGGACUGUAACUGGUGACACAAGUGGCUAAACUCUCUUUGCGAACUACUAAUUGUAGUUGUUGUCAAUUAUUACACUAGGCAUCUUCAAGCCUUUGGCUGUUAAGACUUAAUGGGACUUGUUCAAAAUUUUCAUGUGAAAC